This 386-nucleotide ribosomal RNA is filed under the name uncultured bacterium. RNAcentral's name for it is "bacterial SSU rRNA". It matches the Rfam family "Bacterial small subunit ribosomal RNA", at positions 28 to 408 of the family's 1533-position model. The record is from RNAcentral.
GACGAACGCUGGCGGCGUGCCUAACACAUGCAAGUCGAACGGGAUCCAUGAGAGCUUGCUCUCGGAAGAUCUAGUGGCGAACGGGUGAGUAACACGUGAGAAACCUGCCCUGGAGUGGGGAAUAACUCGGGGAAACCCGAGCUAAUACCGCAUACCCUUGGAUGAUCGCAUGGUUGACCAAGGAAGAUUUAUCGCUCUAGGAGGGUCUCGCGGCCUAUCAGCUAGUUGGUGGGGGUAAUGGCCUACCAAGGCAACGACGGGUAGCUGGUUUGAGAGAACGAUCAGCCACACUGGGACUGAGACACGGCCCAGACUCCUACGGGAGGCAGCAGUGGGGAAUCUUGCGCAAUGGGCGAAAGCCUGACGCAGCAACGCCGCGUGCGGGA